This 86-nucleotide transfer RNA is filed under the name Deltaproteobacteria bacterium. RNAcentral's name for it is "tRNA-Tyr". It matches the Rfam family "tRNA". From Rfam's summary of the family: Transfer RNA (tRNA) molecules are approximately 80 nucleotides in length. Their secondary structure includes four short double-helical elements and three loops (D, anti-codon, and T loops). Lineage: Bacteria; Pseudomonadati; Myxococcota; Myxococcia. The record is from RNAcentral.
GGUGGGAUGGCCGAGUGGUUAAAGGCAUCAGACUGUAAAUCUGACGACGUUAGUCUACGUAGGUUCAAAUCCUGCUCCCACCACCA